AUUUCUCUUUUUUUUUUCUGUGUGUGGGAUUAUGCAAGAACUGUAUUUUGGCUUGAAGUAUAAUUAUAUAUAUUUCGAAUUAGGAUCACAAUUAGAUCACUUGUAAAUUUUGAGGUUUAUUUUUUAAAAAUUAUGACUAAAUUGAUAUAAUAUGUAAAAGUUGAGGGCUAAAUUUAUUAUUAUACUGAUUUUUUAACUACCACGUCAGCUUGACAUUUGUGACUUUAACAGGGGUGGUC
Molecule: long non-coding RNA, 239 nt
Filed under: Gossypium raimondii (Peruvian cotton)
Lineage: Eukaryota; Viridiplantae; Streptophyta; Magnoliopsida; Malvales; Malvaceae
Description: long non-coding RNA (GRAI_LNC010806)
Source: RNAcentral